RNAcentral lists this unclassified non-coding RNA (269 nucleotides) under plant metagenome. RNAcentral's name for it is "partial contains small subunit ribosomal RNA, internal transcribed spacer 1, and 5.8S ribosomal RNA". The record is from RNAcentral.
UUUCCGCAGGUGAACCUGCGGAAGGAUCAUUAAUGAGUUGUCAUGGGGUUCGAUGCUGGCAGCCAAUUUUUGGAUGCAUGUGCUUGCCCUAACAAUCAUCUUCCAAACACCUGUGCACAUUUUUGAGGGAGUCUUGAGUUGGUUGCCGCUCUUGGGUGAUUUUCUCACAUUCCCUUAAAUCAUUAUACGCUAUUAACAAUGUUGAACGUGCUCUGUGCCGCAAGGCUAUUAAUAUAAUACAACUUUUAACAACGGAUCUCUUGGCUCUC